UCUUGGUCUUGUAGGAUUUUUCCAGUUGGGGAGUUGUAAGGAGGUUCCCAUACCCUCUGGCUUCCCUUCGAUACUGCUCGGAGAUGUUUUAGACAAAGAAAAUGAAACCCCUUUAUUCAUUUGAAGGAAUCAUUUCGUCUUUUUUGUUUUCCUCCGACACAUGGGAAGAAAAGUUAGGCUGCCGAAACCCGGGAUCGAACCAGGGACCUUUAGAUCUUCAGUCUAACGCUCUCCCAACUGAGCUAUUUCGGCUCCUGCGGGCUCUGAUCUCCACUUCUGUCCUCCUCGUCGUCUAAUGGCCCUGGGUCCUCGACCCGGGGAUCCGCUGCGGAGGAACCAGGGUCAGCGGGAACGCAUGCCUGCCAGGCUCGCCCCGCACCCGCCCCUUCUCGUCCUUCAAAGUCACCGCCUCCGAGAAGCCUUCUCUGAUCACGCCUCCCUACACGACCCCAGCCCUUUAUUGUUUACUGUUGGCUUAGGUAUUGUUUUCCUUGUCCAUUAUCUGUCCCCCCGGCUAGAAUGACAGACCCACGACGGGCAGAGAAUUCAUCAGCCUCUGUCACUGCUGUAUCGCUUAAGGCCGACAACAGUGUCUGGCACCUAAUAGGUGCUUAAAAAUAUUUGCUGAAUUAAGGAAAGAACGAAUCUUAUCUGGCUCAGAGCUCCACUUUCUCAGGCUCCCUUCUCUGGGCAACUGAACAAGGUCUCCCCUUGGGUGCAGCUCCCCAAGCAGCCCAAGGCAUGGCAGGGAUGCUGACCACGCCAAGGCAUGUGGGAGGCCGUAUGGGCUUUCCUUGGGGCAGUGACUCAGAUCCGGCCUCCAAGCAUGGCUACCCCACCUGUGGCAACUGCUCAGCUUCAAGGCACGAAGAAAUCAACAGGUCGGCAUCCAGAUCACAGUCACACGACCAGAAGGCAAAGCAGGGAAGGGGACCCAAAUCCCCCGCAUCAGCUGGCUUAAGAAGGGAGCUCCGUUGGAGAGGGCGGAGCUAGUCAAACGCCCUUGGUCUCAAUCACAGAUGCCCGUGUCCCCUCCCCUGGAGAUUCGGAUUCAGGCUGUGCUGCGUGGCUUGCAGGAUCUUAUUUCCCCAACCAGGGAUCGAACCCGUGCCCCCUGCAGUGGACCACCAGGGAAUUCCCGAAUUUAUGCGUUUAUAUUAACACAAAUUGAUUCAGGAAAAAUACCUAAGUAAAAGUGAGAAAAAUGAUCAACCUCUACAG
Long non-coding RNA from Physeter macrocephalus (sperm whale), 1221 nucleotides. RefSeq lists it as uncharacterized. The transcript has 3 exons. The record is from RefSeq and is a predicted model, not a curated record. NCBI's taxonomy places the organism in Eukaryota, Metazoa, Chordata, Mammalia, Artiodactyla, Physeteridae.